Molecule: long non-coding RNA, 1150 nt
Filed under: Mus pahari (shrew mouse)
Lineage: Eukaryota; Metazoa; Chordata; Mammalia; Rodentia; Muridae
Description: lncRNA (MGP_PahariEiJ_G0003411.1)
Source: RNAcentral
GUACAGGUGCACGCAGGACGAUGACGACGAUGAGCAGUGGAGGAGAGUUGAGUUAAUGAGCACCCAUCCUCCAUCCUUUAGCGCCCCCUAGAGCCAGUGGCUUCCUUAACAGGGCGGUAUCUAGUCGAAUCUGCAUCUUUGAUUCCUUCAACCAGCGAUGACAUCCUGGGCACAGAAGAACGUAACAUUCCUGGAAGCCUCUGUCAGUGAGAAAAUGAUGCUAUGGUCAGAAGCUAUCAUAUGGAAUGAUGCUUUCUUGGCACUUGUGCUUAGAUCUAUUCAGUCAGCAUGGUGUCAGCAUCUCUGCGGCAUUAACAGCAGCACACAUGAAAGCAAACGGACGAAACAAGCUCCCAACUUCUAAUUGUGAAUAUUUGCUACGCGGGGCCACGGGAAAUGCUUAUGGCUGAGAGACCGGGAGGACCAGGUGACAGUUUGGUGCCCUCCACAGCCAGUGAGCAGGUAUGCCAGGUCACAUCAGAGGAAGGGCCGAGGCAGUUUGAUGACCCAGAAUGUUCUGUAAGAGUGCUGCAGAGGCCAGAAGGAAAACUGGACAGAGUGACUGAGAGAGAGGCUCGCUUGGGUGCAAACGAAGAGCAUGCGGUGUUUUGAAGCACCUGGGUACAGCAAGACCCACGACUCAUCCCACUCAGGAGUACAUUAGGAGUCCUCCAUUCAGGAAGGAGGAGGAGGAGGAGGAUAACCUCUGAGAAUCAUCAACAUCCAUUUUGGCCCGCCGGAAAUAACUCCUGAGCCACCUCAGCCCCAAGGACCCUGCAAACACCGAACAGACUCACCUUCUUCCAAAACAACUUUCCCAGCGGUAGCGAGAUAUUUUCCUUUCAAGAAGGAAAAAAAGGGGGAGACUUGUUAGUGAGGGUGCUUAUUAAAUGACCACUAACUCCCAGUCUCUGCUUCCCCUGCAUCACUGGAUAAGGACUCGCAAAGCCCAGAUAUAUCUAGACGUGAGUGAGUAUUGACAUUCAAGGUUUAGCAUCAGAUUCUUUCGAGCUGACCCCACUACAGCAAGCAUCUUCAUUCCAUGUCUUUUGCUCUCUGGACUUCGAGACAGGAUCCCUUUAAAUUCCCAGACGAUUUCUGACCAAAAGAAAAAUAUCUGACAAUAAAAAUGGGAUUCAGACAAAUUCAG